Molecule: ribosomal RNA, 497 nt
Filed under: uncultured bacterium
Lineage: Bacteria
Description: partial 16S ribosomal RNA
Rfam family: Bacterial small subunit ribosomal RNA
Source: RNAcentral
GAUGAACGCUGGCGGCGUGCCUAAUACAUGCAAGUCGAGCGAACGGACGAGAAGCUUGCUUCUCUGAUGUUAGCGGCGGACGGGUGAGUAACACGUGGAUAACCUACCUAUAAGACUGGGAUAACUUCGGGAAACCGGAUCUAAUACCGGAUGAUAUUUUGAACCGCAUGGUUCAAAAGUGAAAGACGGUCUUGCUGUCACUUCAAGAUGGAUCCGCGCUGCAUUCGCUAGUUGGUAAGGUAACGGCUAACCAAGGCAACGAUGCAUAGCCGACCUGAGAGGGUGUUCGUCCACACUGGAACUGAGACACGGUCCAGACUCCUACGGGAGGCAGCAGUAGGGAAUCUUCCGCGAUGGGCGAAAGCCUGACGGAGCAACGCCGCGUGAGUGAUGAAGGUCUUCGGAUCGUAAAACUCUGUUAUUAGGGAAGAACAUAUGUGUAAGUAACUGUGCACAUCUUGACGGUACCUAAUCAGAAAGCCACGGCUAACUACGUG